GACAGAGGGUGCAAACGUUGUUCGGAAUUACUGGGCGUAAAGCGUGUGUAGGCGGCCAGGUAAGUCGGGUGUGAAAGCCCCGGGCUCAACCCGGGAAGUGCACUCGAAACUGCUUGGCUUGAGUACUGGAGAGGUUGGUGGAAUUCUCGGUGUAGAGGUGAAAUUCGUAGAUAUCGAGAGGAACACCGGUGGCGAAGGCGGCCAACUGGACAGAUACUGACGCUGAGACACGAAAGCGUGGGGAG
RNAcentral lists this ribosomal RNA (245 nucleotides) under uncultured bacterium. RNAcentral's name for it is "partial 16S ribosomal RNA". It matches the Rfam family "Bacterial small subunit ribosomal RNA", at positions 524 to 768 of the family's 1533-position model. The record is from RNAcentral.